CAAUAGCGUAUAUUAAAGUUGUUGCAGUUAAAAAGCUCGUAGUUGAAUUUCUGUACAGUCCCAAUUUUGGCUUCGGUCAGGUUGUGGAUUGUGCAUCCGCUUGCAAAUCUAGUUCGGCAUUCACUUGUUGGCUAGGGGAGUAAGCUUUUUACUUUGAAAAAAUUAGAGUGUUUCAAGCAGGCAAUGGCUCGAAUACAUUAGCAUGGAAUAAUGGAAUAGGACUUUUGUCCAUUUGAUUGGUUAUUGGACUUAGGUAAUGAUUAAAAGGGACAGUUGGGGGCAUUAGUAUUUAAUUGUCAGAGGUGAAAUUCUUGGAUUUAUUAAAGACUAACUUAUGCGAAAGCAUUUGCCAAGGAUGUUUNCAUUAA
This 368-nucleotide ribosomal RNA is filed under the name uncultured eukaryote. RNAcentral's name for it is "partial 18S ribosomal RNA". It matches the Rfam family "Eukaryotic small subunit ribosomal RNA", at positions 592 to 976 of the family's 1831-position model. The record is from RNAcentral.